Molecule: long non-coding RNA, 464 nt
Organism: Nicotiana tabacum (common tobacco)
Lineage: Eukaryota; Viridiplantae; Streptophyta; Magnoliopsida; Solanales; Solanaceae
Source: RefSeq, a predicted model, not a curated record
AAUAGCAAUUAUAUGCUCACAAAAACAUUUCAUAAAUCAUAAAGAGCUAUUAUUAGCAUGGCGUUGCUUAGGUUUGCUUUCGUUCUAACCUUUCUUCUCAUAACAACCACUAUUGACGUGCCAUGGCUCUCAAAGACACAAGUACUGGCUACACGGGAUAUUGAUCGUGAUCUCAGAGGACUUGAGAAGAGCCUACUCUCAACACUUAAUGUUAUGACUUGUGGGAGGGAUUGUGUUUACAAUGAUUGUAAAGAUGAUUGUUGGAUUUGCUGUAGAUGUGUUAGAUCUAAUUGUGUGUUAUAAUGCAAAUUAUUGGUAGAUUGGCACAUUAGUGUCCAAUUGCAACCAACCCUACAACCCCAUAUUAUGUAUUUACCUUUUCUCGUGUGAUUUGUGUGUUUUCCUCAUCUUUUCUUGCUUUGUACGAAAAUAAUAAUAAAACUUUCUAGUUUUAUUUGUAAUCA